This 472-nucleotide ribosomal RNA is filed under the name uncultured bacterium. RNAcentral describes it as "bacterial SSU rRNA". It matches the Rfam family "Bacterial small subunit ribosomal RNA", at positions 355 to 825 of the family's 1533-position model. The record is from RNAcentral.
UGGGGAAUAUUGGACAAUGGGGGCAACCCUGAUCCAGCGAUGCCGCGUGUGCGAAGAAGGCCUGCGGGUUGUAAAGCACUUUGGUUGGGGAAGAAGGUUGGGCGUUGAAUAGAUGCCUGAAUUGACGUUACCCAAAGAACAAGCACCGGCUAACUCUGUGCCAGCAGCCGCGGUAAUACAGAGGGUGCGAGCGUUAAUCGGAAUUACUGGGCGUAAAGGGCGUGUAGGCGGGUCGUUAAGUUGGGGGUGAAAUCCCGAGGCUCAACCUCGGAACUGCCUUCAAAACUGGCGACCUGGACUCAAGCAGAGGCAAGUGGAAUUGCGAGUGUAGAGGUGAAAUUCGUAGAUAUUCGCAGGAACACCAGUGGCGAAGGCGACUUGCUGGGCUUGUAGUGACGCUGAGACGCGAAAGCGUGGGGAGCAAACAGGAUUAGAUACCCAGGUAGUCCCUGAGCGGGCUGGCAAGGCGCAU